This is a non-coding RNA of Paramuricea clavata, 504 nucleotides long. NCBI's taxonomy places the organism in Eukaryota, Metazoa, Cnidaria, Anthozoa, Malacalcyonacea, Plexauridae. The record is from the annotation of a GenBank genome assembly.
AAAGUGCAGAUUAUAUACUUCGUCUUAUUUGUAUCUGGACUUAUAGACCUCGCGCUGUAGACCUGGAAAACGGAUAAAGAAGAAAGCAAUACCGCUGAUGUACUUUACAAGAAUAAUAAAUAAGGAAUUAUGAUAUUUGGUGGAUCCGUGCACCACCAUCCUUAGACAAUGUUUUACGUACUGUUUAAAUGGUUCAGGUCCAAAGUCGCAAAGUAUCCUGCAUGCAAGAUGAAGUACUAACCAAUUUAGAACCAUGUCAGCAACACCGCGGACACAGUAGGUUUGUGGUGGUCACAACGUCAUGACUGUCAUUGGCUUCAUUUACAGAUAGCGGCUGCACUAUCCACUCCUAGCUUUGCGAUCAGGGAGAAUGACGUUGUUGCCGUUACUGUCUCAUCCCAGUGAACUCCAUGUCUUUUAUCUGGAACGAUAACAUGCGGGAGAAACGUGAAGCUAAUGCCAACACCACUUCACGCCAGCGUGGGAACGCGCGCUGCUUCGUAA